This is a long non-coding RNA of Hippocampus zosterae (dwarf seahorse), 1277 nucleotides long. RefSeq lists it as uncharacterized. The transcript has 2 exons. The record is from RefSeq and is a predicted model, not a curated record. NCBI's taxonomy places the organism in Eukaryota, Metazoa, Chordata, Actinopteri, Syngnathiformes, Syngnathidae.
CUGUUGGCAGUCUUGGAGAAGAUGCGGACAAAAAACUCUCCGGGCUGGUUGGGCCGAUAGGUGGACGCCACAAGGACGUAAUAACCCGGAUCCAGGUGCACUUUUCUCCACACAGCCCUGCGGGACAUUGACAGGUCGCGGGGGGUGCUGGAGCCUAUCCCAGCCAUCUUCGGGCAGUAUGUGGGGACACACCCUGACCUGGUCGCCAACCCGUCGCAUGGCACAGAGAGACGAACAACCAUUCGCGAACAUAUUCACACCUAGGGACAAUUUGGAGUGCCCAAACAACCUGCCACGCAUACCUUUGGAAUGUGGGAGGAAACCGGAGUACCCAGAGAAAACCCAGGCAGGCAUGGGGAGAACAUGCAAACUCCACACAGGAAGGCCGUAGCCAGAAUCGAACCCUUCACCUCCGCGCUGUGAGGCUGACGUGCUAACCAGUCGACCACCAUGCUGCCGUUCAUAUUGUCAGUAUUAUUAAUUAUUAUUAUGAAAUGCAUGAAUAAAAGGUUGGAUUUUCCUUGUUUCUUUUCAAUCUUGAUACGAUAACUGCAAAAACAGCAUUUAUUAGAAGCUAAAGAAAACAUAAUCGGUCAUGCCAAUAAUUAUGGCGGGCAGUGCAUAAAUUGAAUCUGUUGAAUCCUAUAAAUAAUAAUGUUGCCAAGUAGUAUAUGAUCAAUCAAGCAAGUAAGUACGUGCGUCAGUAAAUCACUAGGUCAGUAGGUACAGUAAGUCAUUAAAGUCAGUAAAAAAAGUGUUCUUUGAUGAGUCAAACCAGAUACGGAUGAAACAACAGCAAGUCACGGUGGAACUAUUCGUGCUUAUGAUUGUGUAAGUAAUUUAGCAUAGGCAGCUGCAAGUAAGAUUCAAGUCUCAGCUGGCUUGACGUUGGGGUGGCUCGUAAUGAGCUGUGUCUCAUUCGCGGCUUGAUGGACGAAAGACAGAGGAGCACCCUGUGUGGUCGCUCCACUUCAUAUAUUUACUCACCCUGAAAUGGAAGAUGCCAGCGUAAGACUUGGACAGGCUUUGGUUGGGCGGUACCACCUUGACAAAGAGUUUGUGAUGCAUGGUGAGACAGGACAGCGCCGCCAGCAGCCAGCAGUUACCUGGGGAGACAAACCACAGGUUUUGUGUAUCGGCCAACCAUGUUGCUGGAAGGCAACGGGAAAUAAUUUCAACAACUGGCAUUCCGUGGAGUGCAAUUCCCGGUAUUGUCAAUCCCUGACCACAAACACGAAAAUAUGGAAUAAAGUCACAUUCCGCUACAAUAGAAAUCA